This 427-nucleotide ribosomal RNA is filed under the name uncultured beta proteobacterium. RNAcentral's name for it is "bacterial SSU rRNA". It matches the Rfam family "Bacterial small subunit ribosomal RNA", at positions 355 to 774 of the family's 1533-position model. Lineage: Bacteria; Pseudomonadati; Pseudomonadota; Betaproteobacteria. The record is from RNAcentral.
UGGGGAAUUUUGGACAAUUGGCGAAAGCCUGAUCCAGCCAUGCCGCGUGAGUGAAGAAGGCCUUCGGGUUGUAAAGCUCUUUUAGUCGGAAAGAAAGAGUUGCAAUGAAUAAUUGUGAUUUAUGACGGUACCGACAGAAAAAGCACCGGCUAACUACGUGCCAGCAGCCGCGGUAAUACGUAGGGUGCGAGCGUUAAUCGGAAUUACUGGGCGUAAAGGGUGCGCAGGCGGUCUUGCAAGUCAGAUGUGAAAGCCCCGGGCUUAACCUGGGAAUUGCGUUUGAAACUACAAGGCUAGAGUGCAGCAGAGGGGAGUGGAAUUCCAUGUGUAGCAGUGAAAUGCGUAGAGAUGUGGAAGAACACCGAUGGCGAAGGCAGCUCCCUGGGUUGACACUGACGCUCAUGCACGAAAGCGUGGGGAGCAAACA